GGAUUAGAUACCCUGGUAGUCCACGCCGUAAACGAUGUCAACUAGCCGUUGGGAGCCUUGAGCUCUUAGUGGCGCAGCUAACGCAUUAAGUUGACCGCCUGGGGAGUACGGCCGCAAGGUUAAAACUCAAAUGAAUUGACGGGGGCCCGCACAAGCGGUGGAGCAUGUGGUUUAAUUCGAAGCAACGCGAAGAACCUUACCUGGCCUUGACAUCCUGCGAACUUUCUAGAGAUAGGUUGGUGCCUUCGGGAACAUUGAGACAGGUGCUGCAUGGCCGUCGUCAGCUCGUGCCG
RNAcentral lists this ribosomal RNA (293 nucleotides) under uncultured bacterium. RNAcentral's name for it is "partial 16S ribosomal RNA". It matches the Rfam family "Bacterial small subunit ribosomal RNA", at positions 775 to 1067 of the family's 1533-position model. The record is from RNAcentral.